Lagenorhynchus albirostris (white-beaked dolphin) is the source of this 1957-nucleotide long non-coding RNA. RefSeq lists it as uncharacterized. NCBI's taxonomy places the organism in Eukaryota, Metazoa, Chordata, Mammalia, Artiodactyla, Delphinidae. The record is from RefSeq and is a predicted model, not a curated record. The transcript is spliced from 2 exons.
UCCCCUGCUCUCGGGGUCCCGGGAGUUCCCUCGCUGUGUGACCCUCAGCAAGUGUGCGCACCUCUCUGAGCCUCGGCAGCCUGUAGCAAAAUGGAGGAGCUCGUACCGGCUGUGAGACAAAAUAGGAGCGGCAAAGGGUAGCGCUUAAGCGCAAGGACUGGAGUCCUCACUCCGCCACCGGCUAACUUCGGGAAACUAGCUGUACUGAUAGAACCACCUCAUAGGUUUGUUAUGAAGAUUAAGUGAGUUAAUAUUUGUAAAGUGUUUAGAACAGCUUCUGUUACGUGGUAAGUGGUAUUUAAGUAUUUGUUAGACUACGGGAGGUCUCGCUCCGCGAUUUUCUCCCUUCCCCUCUCCAUCCCCACAUUCCUGUUUGUAAGCCAAGCCUUGCUUUAGCACAGGCUGGGCCCUCUGCCUGGAAAUCUAUGCCCACCUCUUCUUUGCACUUUAAUAUCCCCCCCUUUGUGAAGCCUUUCUCCACUCCUGACAGUACAUGUGACUCUAUGGUGACAGGUAAGUGUGAAAAAUAUGAAUGGUAGGAACAUAGGAGAACUUGGGUUUGAACCAGCUCCACUGUAGACCAGUCCUCGAGAUCCUAGGCAAGGUGCUGGCCUAUGAGGCUCAGCUUUCUUCUGGGUUACACGGAAUGAACAUGACCACCAACUUCAUGUGCUAUCAUGAGAGACACAAUGUCCAGAUAAGCUCAUGAAAUACUUAGCACAGGCUUAACUCGCGGUAAGUCCCCCUUUAGUGGUAGUGGUAUUAUUUCACCUUAUUUCAUCUGAUUUCACCUCGUUUCUUCUUCUAGACCCGUGUCUUACUCGAGACACAGUGAAAGGAAAGACCCCCCCCCAGUCCAAAGGUCUGGACAAAAUCCUGAGACUGAGCAUCUCGAGGAUGGCUUCUGUAGCUGAGACACAGGGGUGAAGGAGUGAAGGAAGAAGGCAGGAGUGAAUGAACAUAUGAGCAGCUAGUCUGCCUGUUUCCUGCCAACACCAGUGUUCCCUUAAGUACUUUUUGGGUUUUGCCACGUCCCUGCUCAAAGUCUCUCCAUCGCUCCCUGUUUCCGAGCACAUCCAGUCUACUGCAUAUGUCUCCUCCCAGCUGUGGGUACACCCCACCCAGCUCAUGGGGCAUACUCACCAUCAGGCUCCCUUUCCUUCUCCAGGCCAGUCCUGCGCUGGCCACUUCCCCAGGGACAGAGGCAGGCAAGCCUGUUGCUAGCCUUAUGGAGCCCCCAAACUGGAGAGGAUGAAGCGGCGAGAUGCACAGCAACAGUACCAAGUUGGGUGUUCAUGGUUAAGAAUGUGUAUGGGAGGGGCUUCCCUGGUGGCACAGUGGUUGAGAGUCCGCCUGCCGAUGCGGGGGACACGGGUUCGUGCCCUGGUCCGGGAAGAUCCCACAUGCUGCGGAGCAGCUGGGCCCGUGAGCCAUGGCCGCUGAGCCUGCGCGUCCGGAGCCUGUGCUCUGCAACGGGAGAGGCCACAACAGUGAGAGGCCCGCGAACCGCAAAAAAAAAAAAAAAAAAAAGUGUAUGGGAGAGAACUUGUACCACAGAGGAAGGAGAGGGAGUGGAGAGAGCUUCAGGAAAGGGAGAGGGCAGGCUGAGCAGGGUUUAGAAGGCUGAAUAUGAGUUCACCAGGUGGGUCAGAGGGAAGGCCAUCCUUGGCAAGGGGAAGAACAUGUGCAAAGACAGUAGACAGGCAGAGAGUGACUGCUGAAGGGGAGAAAGAAUCUCUAGACCACACUCAGAGACUGAUGGUGGAGCCCUGGAUUUGGACUCCUGAGUCCCAGCUCUGCUAUUUACUUGUUAAACAUCACCAAGCAAAUCCUUUCUCUUUUCUGAGCCUCAAGACUCACAUCUGUAAAAUGGGUGUAACAAUCCCCUCCUGACUUGGCCAGAGGAAAAACGGAUUGUGUGUAAAAGUUUAUCCAAAUAAACAGUACUAAUUCAUGA